RNAcentral lists this ribosomal RNA (468 nucleotides) under uncultured bacterium. RNAcentral describes it as "partial 16S ribosomal RNA". It matches the Rfam family "Bacterial small subunit ribosomal RNA", at positions 28 to 507 of the family's 1533-position model. The record is from RNAcentral.
GACGAACGCUGGCGGCGUGCUUAACACAUGCAAGUCGAACGGAAAGGCCCUGCUUUUGUGGGGUGCUCGAGUGGCGAACGGGUGAGUAACACGUGAGUAACCUGCCCUUGACUUUGGGAUAACUUCAGGAAACUGGGGCUAAUACCGGAUAGGAGCUCCUGCUGCAUGGUGGGGGUUGGAAAGUUUCGGCGGUUGGGGAUGGACUCGCGGCGUAUCCGCUUGUUUGUGGGGUUGUGGCUUACCAAGGCUUUGACGGGUAGCCGGCCUGAGAGGGUGACCGGCCGCAUUGGGACUGAGGGACGGCAGAGACUCCUACGGGAGGGAGCAGUGGGGAAUAUUGCACGAUGGGCGGAAGCCUGGUGCAGCAACGCCGCGUGCGGGAUGACUGCCUUCGGGGUGUAAACCGCAUGCGUCUGUGACGAAGCGUGAGUGACGGUAAUGGGUAAAGAAGCACAGGCUAACUACGUG